This is a small nuclear RNA of Perognathus longimembris pacificus (Pacific pocket mouse), 105 nucleotides long. The record is from RefSeq and is a predicted model, not a curated record. Lineage: Eukaryota; Metazoa; Chordata; Mammalia; Rodentia; Heteromyidae.
GUGCUUGUUUCAGAAGCACAUAUAAUAAAUAGGAACGAUCUGGAGAAGAUUAGCAUUACCCCCACCAGGGACAACAUGCAAAUUUGUGAAGCAUUCCAUAUGUUU